RNAcentral lists this ribosomal RNA (253 nucleotides) under uncultured bacterium. RNAcentral's name for it is "partial 16S ribosomal RNA". It matches the Rfam family "Bacterial small subunit ribosomal RNA", at positions 524 to 776 of the family's 1533-position model. The record is from RNAcentral.
CACGGGGGGAGCAAGCGUUGUUCGGAAUCACUGGGCGUAAAGGGUGUCUAGGCGGUCAGGUAAGUGAGAUGUGAAAUGCCCCGGCUUACCCGGGGACCUGCAUCUCAUACUGCCUGGCUUGAGUAUGGGAGAGGAUGAGGGAAUUCCUGGUGUAGCGGUGAAAUGCGUAGAUAUCAGGAGGAACACCCGUAGCGAAGGCGGCACUCUGGGCCGAUACUGACACUGAGGAGCGAAAGCGUGGGGAGCGAACAGG